CAGCAGCCACGGGAAUACGAAGGGGGCGAGCGUUGCUCGGAAUGACUGGGCGUAAAGGGCGCGUAGGUGGCGUGCACAGUCAGAUGUGAAAUUCCUGGGCUCAACCUGGGGGCUGCAUUUGAUACGUGCGUGCUAGAGUGUGGAAGAGGGUCGUGGAAUUCCCAGUGUAGAGGUGAAAUUCGUAGGUAUUGGGAAGAACACCGGUGGCGAAGGCGGCGACCUGGUCCAUUACUGACGCUGAGGCGCGAAAGCGUGGGGAGCAAACAGGAUUAGAGACCCCCGUAGUCCCUGUCUCUUAUAC
Molecule: ribosomal RNA, 301 nt
Filed under: uncultured bacterium
Lineage: Bacteria
Description: partial 16S ribosomal RNA
Rfam family: Bacterial small subunit ribosomal RNA
Source: RNAcentral